GGUAGGAAAAACUGUGCCGGGUUCCAACUCACAACCUAAAGUGUUACCAGGCUAGUGUAAAGUAAAUGAACUACUUAGACCACUUGUUCACCGAGCUCCCUCAAGUCGUAAACUUACUGUUGAUUAGUUGUACUUUUUAUUCUGAAUGAAAGAGGCUUAAAUCAAUAAGAAAAUGUAAUGUAUCCUUGGAUAGACAUACCUUACUUUUUUAUUUCAACAGAUAAAAGUAAGCGGCUGUUUGUAAAAACAUUUAUAUGAAAAUCAUCUUGACAUGAAUUUGCUCUUAAUAUGUACAAUAAUUCUAUGGAAGUAAUUAAUUUUUAACAAAGUUUCAGAUUUUAGGAAAUAAACG
This 352-nucleotide long non-coding RNA is filed under the name Mytilus galloprovincialis (Mediterranean mussel). The record is from RNAcentral. Lineage: Eukaryota; Metazoa; Mollusca; Bivalvia; Mytilida; Mytilidae.